AGAGUUUGAUCCUGGCUCAGAACGAACGCUGGCGGCAGGCUUAACACAUGCAAGUCGAACGCCCCGCAAGGGGAGUGGCAGACGGGUGAGUAACGCGUGGGAACAUACCCUUUCCUGCGGAAUAGCUCCGGGAAACUGGAGUUAAUACCGCAUACGCCCUACGGGGGAAAGAUUUAUCGGGGAAGGAUUGGCCCGCGUUGGAUUAGCUAGUUGGUGGGGUAAAGGCCUACCAAGGCGACGAUCCAUAGCUGGUCUGAGAGGAUGAUCAGCCACAUUGGGACUGAGACACGGCCCAAACUCCUACGGGAGGCAGCAGUGGGGAAUAUUGGACAAUGGGCGCAAGCCUGAUCCAGCCAUGCCGCGUGAGUGAUGAAGGCCUUAGGGUUGUAAAGCUCUUUCACCGGAGAAGAUAAUGACGGUAUCCGGAGAAGAAGCCCCGGCUAACUUCGUGCCAGCAGCCGCGGUAAUACGAAGGGGGCUAGCGUUGUUCGGAAUUACUGGGCGUAAAGCGCACGUAGGCGGAUAUUUAAGUCAGGGGUGAAAUCCCAGAGCUCAACUCUGGAACUGCCUUUGAUACUGGGUAUCUUGAGUAUGGAAGAGGUAAGUGGAAUUCCGAGUGUAGAGGUGAAAUUCGUAGAUAUUCGGAGGAACACCAGUGGCGAAGGCGGCUUACUGGCCCAUUACUGACGCUGAGGUGCGA
Molecule: ribosomal RNA, 700 nt
Filed under: uncultured Rhizobiaceae bacterium
Lineage: Bacteria; Pseudomonadati; Pseudomonadota; Alphaproteobacteria; Hyphomicrobiales; Rhizobiaceae
Description: bacterial SSU rRNA
Rfam family: Bacterial small subunit ribosomal RNA
Source: RNAcentral